UGGGGAAUUUUGGACAAUGGGCGAAAGCCUGAUCCAGCAAUGCCGCGUGUGUGAAGAAGGCCUUCGGGUUGUAAAGCACUUUUGUCCGGAAAGAAAUGGCUCUGGUUAAUACCUGGGGUCGAUGACGGUACCGGAAGAAUAAGGACCGGCUAACUACGUGCCAGCAGCCGCGGUAAUACGUAGGGUCCAAGCGUUAAUCGGAAUUACUGGGCGUAAAGCGUGCGCAGGCGGUUGUGCAAGACCGAUGUGAAAUCCCCGAGCUUAACUUGGGAAUUGCAUUGGUGACUGCACGGCUAGAGUGUGUCAGAGGGGGGUAGAAUUCCACGUGUAGCAGUGAAAUGCGUAGAGAUGUGGAGGAAUACCGAUGGCGAAGGCAGCCCCUGGGAUAACACUGACGCUCAUGCACGAAAGCGUGGGGAGCAAACAGGAUUAGAUACCCUGGUAGUCCACGCCCUAAACGAUGUCAACUAGUUGUUGGGGGAUUCAUUUCCUUAGUAACGUAGCUAACGCGUAAGUAGUGACCGCCUGGGGAGUACGGUCGCAA
Molecule: ribosomal RNA, 544 nt
Filed under: uncultured bacterium
Lineage: Bacteria
Description: partial 16S ribosomal RNA
Rfam family: Bacterial small subunit ribosomal RNA
Source: RNAcentral